AUUGAACGCUGGCGGCAUGCCUUACACAUGCAAGUCGAACGGCAGCACGGGUGCUUGCACCUGGUGGCGAGUGGCGAACGGGUGAGUAAUACAUCGGAACAUGUCCUGUAGUGGGGGAUAGCCCGGCGAAAGCCGGAUUAAUACCGCAUACGAUCUACGGAUGAAAGCGGGGGACCUUCGGGCCUCGCGCUAUAGGGUUGGCCGAUGGCUGAUUGGCUAGUUGGUGGGGUAAAGGCCUACCAAGGCGACGAUCAGUAGCUGGUCUGAGAGGACGACCAGCCACACUGGGACUGAGACACGGCCCAGACUCCUACGGGAGGCAGCAGUGGGGAAUUUUGGACAAUGGGCGAAAGCCUGAUCCAGCAAUGCCGCGUGUGUGAAGAAGGCCUUCGGGUUGUAAAGCACUUUUGUCCGGAAAGAAAUCCUUGGACCUAAUACGGUCGGGGGAUGACGGUACCGGAAGAAUAAGCACCGGCUAACUACGUG
RNAcentral lists this ribosomal RNA (486 nucleotides) under uncultured bacterium. Its description in RNAcentral is "partial 16S ribosomal RNA". It matches the Rfam family "Bacterial small subunit ribosomal RNA", at positions 30 to 507 of the family's 1533-position model. The record is from RNAcentral.